RNAcentral lists this transfer RNA (75 nucleotides) under uncultured marine group II/III euryarchaeote KM3_37_D11. RNAcentral describes it as "tRNA-Glu". It matches the Rfam family "tRNA". From Rfam's summary of the family: Transfer RNA (tRNA) molecules are approximately 80 nucleotides in length. Their secondary structure includes four short double-helical elements and three loops (D, anti-codon, and T loops). Further hydrogen bonds mediate the characteristic L-shaped molecular structure. tRNAs have two regions of fundamental functional importance: the anti-codon, which is responsible for specific mRNA codon recognition, and the 3' end, to which the tRNAs corresponding amino acid is attached (by aminoacyl-tRNA synthetases). tRNAs cope with the degeneracy of the genetic code in two manners: having more than one tRNA (with a specific anti-codon) for a particular amino acid; and 'wobble' base-pairing, i.e. permitting non-standard base-pairing at the 3rd anti-codon position. The record is from RNAcentral. Lineage: Archaea; Methanobacteriati; Methanobacteriota.
GCUCCCGUGGUGUAGUCAGGCCCAUCAUCUCGGCCUUUCGAGCCGAGGACCCGGAUUCGAAUUCCGGCGGGAGCA